UCAGGAUUAACGCUGGCGGCAUGCCUAAUACAUGCAAGUCGAAUGGGGAGCUUGCUUCCCAUGGCGAACGGGUGAGUAAUACGUAGGUAACCUACCUUUAGGACGAGGAUAAACCUUUGGAAACGAAGGAUAAUACUGGAUAGUAUAGAUUUCCGCAUGGAGAUAUAUUUUAAAGAUUUAAUCACCUAGAGAGGGGCCUGCGGUGCAUUAGCUAGUUGGCGGGAUAAAGCCCACCAAGGCGAUGAUGCAUAGCCGGACUGAGAGGUUGUACGGCCACAAUGGAACUGAGAACGGUCCAUACUCCUACGGGAGGCAGCAGUAGGGAAUUUUCGGCAAUGGGCGGAAGCCUGACCGAGCCAAUGCCGCGUGAAUGAUGAAGUAUUUCGGUAUGUAAAGUUCUUUUAUCUAGGAAGAAAAAACAAAUUGACGGUACUAGAUGAAUAAGCUCCGGCUAACUACGUGCCAGCCGCCGC
This 473-nucleotide ribosomal RNA is filed under the name uncultured bacterium. RNAcentral describes it as "bacterial SSU rRNA". It matches the Rfam family "Bacterial small subunit ribosomal RNA", at positions 24 to 518 of the family's 1533-position model. The record is from RNAcentral.